GAUGAACGCUGGCGGCAUGCCUAAUACAUGCAAGUCGAACGAGGCAUCUUCGGAUGCCUAGUGGCGAACGGGUGAGUAACACGUAGGGAACCUGCCCAUGCGGCCGGGACAACUUCCGGAAACGGAUGCUGAUACCGGAUAAGGAAAGCGAAGGCAUCUUUGCUUUGUUAAAGGAGCUGCAAGGCUCCGCGCAUGGAUGGACCUGCGGUGCAUUAGCUGGUUGGUGAGGUAAAGGCUCACCAAGGCGACGAUGCAUAGCCGGCCUGAGAGGGCGAACGGCCACACUGGGACUGAGACACGGCCCAG
This 306-nucleotide ribosomal RNA is filed under the name uncultured bacterium. RNAcentral describes it as "bacterial SSU rRNA". It matches the Rfam family "Bacterial small subunit ribosomal RNA", at positions 28 to 334 of the family's 1533-position model. The record is from RNAcentral.